Molecule: small nucleolar RNA, 105 nt
Organism: Cricetulus griseus (Chinese hamster)
Lineage: Eukaryota; Metazoa; Chordata; Mammalia; Rodentia; Cricetidae
Source: Ensembl
UUGACAGAGAAGAUGUCAUUUUCAGAAAAAGCUGGUGAUAGUGAUGUCAUUCUACGAGCCUAAAGGACACUGAAAUCAUCAAGGUCCCUGAAAAUGGUGACAAUA